RNAcentral lists this ribosomal RNA (570 nucleotides) under Triticum aestivum (bread wheat). Its description in RNAcentral is "partial small subunit ribosomal RNA". Lineage: Eukaryota; Viridiplantae; Streptophyta; Magnoliopsida; Poales; Poaceae. The record is from RNAcentral.
AUGGUGGCAGCGGGGCCUCGGUUGCCCUGCCUUCUACGUGGGGAACCCGGAUCUGGAGCGGCGACUCCAUUGGCAAGGCAUGGCCGGCUAGCAGCCGUGCGGGCGGUGGAUCUGGCGUCCCGGCCGCGCGGGCGGCGGGAUCCGGUGGUCGUUGGCGGCCGGCGGCGGCUUCUGCGCCGGUCGGUGCGCGCGAUCUGGCGCCUCCCCUCCUCCCAUGUUCGGUGUGCGGGCCAGCCUAGUCGGGCCGCGCUUCCUCUUGGUCGCCGGUUCUGUACAGGAGGCGCUGCUGGUGGCGGGGAUCUAGUUCGGGCGAAAUCCCUGGCCGGCCAUGACCGGCCGCGCCAAAGGCGACGCCUGAGGGCGCCGUUCCCCUCCUUGGAGGCGUCGGUAUGGACUGAUCUCUUCACUUCCCCUUCCCCUAGUCUCCCGGGCGAAAGCCCUAACUUUGUUGGGCGGCGGCGGCGCUCACGGCGCCGUUCCCUUCAUGAAGGCGUUGCUUUGGGAACCUUGGGGUUGGGUGGCGCUUGUGGGUGGUGGGCGACGGCGGUGGUGCGGCCCAUCCUAGCAUGA